This is a long non-coding RNA of Cotesia glomerata, 219 nucleotides long. RefSeq lists it as uncharacterized. The transcript has 2 exons. The record is from RefSeq and is a predicted model, not a curated record. Lineage: Eukaryota; Metazoa; Arthropoda; Insecta; Hymenoptera; Braconidae.
UAUAUAUUUUAAUUAUUAAUUUAUAUAUUUUAAUAUAAAUGAUAAUGUUAAAAAAUAAAUAUCCGAGAUUAAUUACCGAUGUGGGUAAUUAUGAUUAUGAGUUUAUUAUUAAUUAUUAUUUACAAGUGGGGUCAACCCUAUUUUGAGCCAUAACAAGGUGAAAAAUUAACAUUUAAAAAUUUUUUAUAUUCUGCUUAUUUUUACGGCGGAUUUAUGGUG